AACGAACGCUGGCGGCGCGCUUAACACAUGCAAGUCGAACGAGAAGGCGUAGCAAUACGCUUGUACAGUGGCGAACGGGUGAGGAAUACAUGGGUAACCUACCCUCGAGUGGGGGAUAACCCGCCGAAAGGCGGGCUAAUACCGCGUACGCUUCCGAUCUUGCGGGAUUGGAAGGAAAGCUGUCCCUUGGGGAUGGCGCUCAAGGAUGGGCUCAUGUCCUAUCAGCUUGNGGUAGGGUAACGGCCUACCAAGGCAUCGACGGGUAGCUGGUCUGAGAGGACGAUCAGCCACACUGGCACUGCGACACGGGCCAGACUCCUACGGGAGGCAGCAGUGAGGAAUAUUGCGCAAUGGGCGAAAGCCUGACGCAGCGACGCCGC
RNAcentral lists this ribosomal RNA (380 nucleotides) under uncultured bacterium. Its description in RNAcentral is "bacterial SSU rRNA". It matches the Rfam family "Bacterial small subunit ribosomal RNA", at positions 29 to 400 of the family's 1533-position model. The record is from RNAcentral.